This 506-nucleotide ribosomal RNA is filed under the name uncultured bacterium. RNAcentral's name for it is "partial 16S ribosomal RNA". It matches the Rfam family "Bacterial small subunit ribosomal RNA", at positions 28 to 507 of the family's 1533-position model. The record is from RNAcentral.
GACGAACGCUGGCGGCGUGCUUAACACAUGCAAGUCGAACGGUGAAGGGACUGGUUUUGCUGGUCCUGGAUGAGUGGCGAACGGGUGAGUAACACGUGAGUAACCUGCCCCCUUCUUCUGGAUAACCGCAUGAAAGUGUGGCUAAUACGGGAUAUUCUGGGUCUGUCGCAUGGUGGGCCUGGGAAAGAUUGCGCCCUUUUUGGUGUUUUUGGUGGGGGAUGGGCUCGCGGCCUAUCAGCUUGUUGGUGGGGUGAUGGCCUACCAAGGCGGUGACGGGUAGCCGGCCUGAGAGGGUGGACGGUCACACUGGGACUGAGACACGGCCCAGACUCCUACGGGAGGCAGCAGUGGGGAAUAUUGCACAAUGGGCGCAAGCCUGAUGCAGCGACGCCGCGUGAGGGAUGGAGGCCUUCGGGUUGUGAACCUCUUUCGCCAGUGAAGCAGGCCUGCCUCUUUUUGUGGGUGGGUUGACGGUAGCUGGAUAAGAAGCGCCGGCUAACUACGUG